This is a non-coding RNA of Podarcis lilfordi (Lilford's wall lizard), 110 nucleotides long. NCBI's taxonomy places the organism in Eukaryota, Metazoa, Chordata, Lepidosauria, Squamata, Lacertidae. The record is from the annotation of a GenBank genome assembly.
UAGAUUACUAUUUCCCUCAAAGAGCUAUAAUUUCCAGAGUACCCUUGGUAGAAGGACCGACCAUUUAACCACUUUGAGAAUUGUAGCUCUGUGAGGGAAAUAGGGGAUCU